This is a non-coding RNA of Annulohypoxylon bovei var. microspora, 118 nucleotides long. The record is from the annotation of a GenBank genome assembly. NCBI's taxonomy places the organism in Eukaryota, Fungi, Ascomycota, Sordariomycetes, Xylariales, Hypoxylaceae.
GGCUCAAUGGUCUAGUGGUAGGAUACUCGCUUCGGGUCUAGUCGUAAAAGACGGGAAAUCCCAAUCUCAGAGAACGAGAAGCUGUGAGUGGUCCCGGGUUCAAAUCCCGGUUGAGCCC